GAUGAACGCUAGCGGCAGGCUUAACACAUGCAAGUCGAGGGGUAACAGGGAAGCUUGCUUCCGCUGACGACCGGCGCACGGGUGCGUAACACGUAUGGAAUCUGCCCUUUACUGGAGAAUAGCCCGGAGAAAUCCGGAUUAAUGCUCCAUAAUAAACGAGAUGGCAUCAUCUUGUUUUGAAAGCUCCGGCGGUAAAGGAUGACCAUGCGCCUGAUUAGUUUGUUGGUGAGGUAACGGCUCACCAAGACUACGAUCAGUAGGGGGCCUGAGAGGGUUAUCCCCCACACUGGUACUGAGACACGGACCAGACUCCUACGGGAGGCAGCAGUGAGGAAUAUUGCGCAAUGGAGGCAACUCUGACGCAGCCAUGCCGCGUGCAGGAAGAAGGCGCUACGCGUUGUAAACUGCUUUUAAUCGGGAAGAAACCCCGGGACGUGUCCCGGGUUGACGGUACCGAUGGAAUAAGCACCGGCUAACUUCGUGCCAGCAGCCGCGGUAAUACGAAGGGUGCAAGCGUUAUCCGGAUUCAUUGGGUUUAAAGGGUGCGUAGGCGGAACAAUAAGUCAGCGGUGAAAGCCCGCAGCUUAACUGCGGAAUUGCCGUUGAUACUGUUGUUCUUGAGUGCGUUUGACGUGGGCGGGAUGUGCCGUGUAGCGGUGAAAUGCUUAGAUAUGGCACAGAACACCGAUAGUGAAGACAGCUCACGAAGACGAAACUGACGCUGAGGCACGAAAGCGUGGGGAUCAAACAGGAUUAGAUACCCUGGUAGUCCACGCCGUAAACGAUGAUCACUCGUGAUUGGCGAUACACUGUCAGUCACCUAGCGG
Molecule: ribosomal RNA, 827 nt
Filed under: uncultured bacterium
Lineage: Bacteria
Description: bacterial SSU rRNA
Rfam family: Bacterial small subunit ribosomal RNA
Source: RNAcentral